This 102-nucleotide ribosomal RNA is filed under the name Sphenodon punctatus (tuatara). The record is from RNAcentral. Lineage: Eukaryota; Metazoa; Chordata; Lepidosauria; Sphenodontia; Sphenodontidae.
GUCUGAAAUCAACCCAUGUCACAUCUCACACUCUUAAACAGGGCUGGGUCAGGAAUGUACCUGGAUGGGAGACCACAAAGGAAAAUCUGGUUACUACAGGUG